UGGGUAGUCCGCACGAGCGCACCCUAUCCUUAGUUGCUAGCAGGUAAUGCUGAGAACUCUAAGGAGACUGCCGGUGAUAAACCGGAGGAAGGUGGGGACGACGUCAAGUCAUCAUGGCCCUUACGUGUAGGGCUACACACGUGCUACAAUGGCGCAUACAGAGUGCUGCAAACUCGCGAGAGUAAGCGAAUCACUUAAAGUGCGUCGUAGUCCGGAUUGGAGUCUGCAACUCGACUCCGUGAAGUCGGAAUCGCCAGUAAUCGCGUAUCAGAAUGACGCGGUGAAUACGUUCCCGGGCCUUGUACACACCGCCCGUCACACCAUGGGAGUGGGUUGCUCCAGAAGUAGAUAGUCUAACCCUCGGGAGGACGUUUACCACGGAGUGAUUCAUGACUGGGGUGAAGUCGUAACAAGGUAGCCCUAGGGGAACCUGGGGCUGGAUCACCUCCUU
Molecule: ribosomal RNA, 451 nt
Filed under: uncultured Pseudoalteromonas sp.
Lineage: Bacteria; Pseudomonadati; Pseudomonadota; Gammaproteobacteria; Alteromonadales; Pseudoalteromonadaceae
Description: bacterial SSU rRNA
Rfam family: Bacterial small subunit ribosomal RNA
Source: RNAcentral